Molecule: non-coding RNA, 3400 nt
Organism: Odocoileus virginianus texanus
Lineage: Eukaryota; Metazoa; Chordata; Mammalia; Artiodactyla; Cervidae
Source: RefSeq, a predicted model, not a curated record
UUAGUCUUGUCUCUUUUUUUUUCUCUCUCCUUUUCUGCUUCAAGGCUUCUUUAUUUAAUUUUCUUGCCCUCUACUCAUUUGAAAGUUUUACAUUCUGUUUUUCUUCUUUUGUUUUGACAAUUUAGAGCUAGUCAGUAUCUUUACCUUCUAUGAAAUAAACAAAGACCUUAGAAGGCCUUAGCUCUUGUCCCACACUCCCCACCCCUCCUGCCUUGUAAACACAAGAAACUUGCUUCCCAGACCACUUAGGACCAUCACUGUUUUACAUAAUCACUGAUUGUUUCUCUAGACCACUUAGGACCAUCAACAUUUUACACAGUCACUGAUUAUUUCUCUUGACCCACAUUCUUUAUUCACUGAUCUUUCUGUCUCACACCUUUCUAAUUUCAGUUUUCUUCAUUCUGAAAUACAUCUUUGUGUUUCUUUGGUGAGAAUUUGUAACUGGGAAAAUACAGGCGUGUGUGUCAGAAAAUGUAUAGAACCCCAGGUUUUCCACUGCGCCUGUUGAAAAGCCUAUUGUUGUGCCUUUUGCUCUUGGAAUUUGAUCAUCUCACUUGCUUAUUUUAAAACACUUGAAUAACCCUCUGCUGUCCUCAGAGUCCAGCUGGUGGAAAAUCAUUGAAAUGUUCUAAUCAGGAGCGCAAGGUGAUCAGAUUCAGCCUUUCCAGGCAUCUCUGACUGUAUGUGACGAAGGGACCGGAAUGGCCAAGGUUGAAGGUAAGAAGGCCAACACCCAGGCAGGCUGUGCUUCCUGUGACUUCAGGAGAGAUGACUGUAGCCUGCACCAGAGUGCCAGUGGUUAUGAGACUGGGCAGAAGGACCGAAUUCAGGAGCCAGGUUUGAGAAAUAAACCCUCUGCAGGGGUUUGUGACUGAUUAGCUCAACGGCAAGCAAGGGAGAGGAAGGAGGCUGGCCCCCAGCUUUCCGGCUCCAGCAGUUGAAGAGGUGUGGUGCUGGGCGUUAAGGAAUACAUGAAGUCUGUUUAGGGGUGAGGGGACACGCUGGUUCAGUUUGGGAUGUAUUGAGUGUUAGGUACCUGGAUGUGCUCCUGGAGAUUUCCCCUAGGAGGUGGGGCGUGCCAGUCUGGAGCCGAGCCACAGGAUCUGAGCUGGAGCUAGAGAUGGCACACCUUCAGCAUCGGAUGGGAAGCGGAGUCCCUGCAGCAGGUGGGGCUCCGGGCAGCAUUCCGAGAUUGAAGGCGACAAGCUGGUCCAGGACAGAGCGCAGGUGAACACUGGCACUUGAGGGUCUGAAGAGCAAGUGGUCAGAGGAGGGGCCUCCUAAGGAGACUGACAAGGAGUGGCCAGAGUGCGAGCAUUAAAACUGGCAGAGGCUGCGGUCAUAAGCCCCAGGAAGAUAGCUCUUCGUGGCAAAGGGUGUGAUCAGCAGGGCUCGGCUGCCUGGAGACAGUAAGGAAGAUAAAAACUGAAAAUGUCCAUCGGAUUUAGCAAAAAGAAGGUGAAGCUCAGUGGCUGUUUUGUUAAGAGUGCUUUCAGUGGUUUGACAGCAGAAGGCAGAUUGCAGCGGAUGAAGAGCCCUACAAAGCUGUCUGGAUUCCAUCACACACCCUGGUGAGAAAUAGAGGUGUUCCCAGGAUUGGGAGGAGCCCGUGCUUCCAGUGGCCCCUUGAUGCCCUCAGCCACCGGCUCAGACUCGCUCCCAUGGCAUACACAUCCAGCCGCAGACUGCAGCAAAAUGGGAGCACUAGAAAAUGCUCCCCAAGAACACCAUCCCGAACAAGACUGCCGAGGGGGCUGGUGCAUGGGUGUGCUGCGUCCAUUUGCUGUAAAUGUUAAAUAAAACAGUAAGUCACACAGAUUUCACAGUAUGGACAUUUAAUAUAAGGAUGGGUUUAAGACUUUAAAAAGUCUUAAACUUUAAAACUUAAAGAAGUCUUAAAAGAUGGGUUUAAGACUUUUGCUACUGUACAAAAAUGAGCCCAUCUGCUUGUAUUACUAAGUUUUGAAUAAUACAGCUAAGGAGCCUCGGUUAAACUGCAGAUCAGCUCGCUGCCUUAGCACCAGGGGGCAGGGUUGGACUUGCUGAGACACUGGAGAGGGGGCUUGUCUAACUGACUUUGCAAAGCUCCCAGCCCAGUGCUGCGUAUUUGCAUUUUAACCAUUUCACUCCUGAUGGAAAUAUGCUCACUACCGAAAAGUCAGUAAUUAAUUUAUCCUGAUUUGCCCACAUAGUUAAACCCCUAACUUCUGUGUUGCCCUUUUCCUGAGGCCCAGAUACAUCUGCUGUUUCUCUAAUGACAGCAGAAUAGACACCUGUUAGCUUCAUCAAGACAUAUUUGCUAAGUCCCGAGGGGGCCAGUUUGUUUCCCUUUAGCAUAUCCCACAUUCACAAAUAAAGUGUCUUUGUGUCAUAUUGUGAAUUUAUAUAAGACUGUUUUGGUCUUCAAGCACUUACAGAACAUUAAUGGAUAAAAGAAGCAGGGGAUGUAGAUAGGAUGCUAAUACCAGUUUUCACUCUGUACAAACUAGUUCUGCAAAUCAGUUUAAAUUGCCCGUCCAAGCUGAAAAAAAGAGGUGGUUGCAUAAGGACAAGGAUUAUAAAGAGAUUAUGGUCUAUUUAAAAUAAAUCCUCAGCCUCUCUCCAACCUCAUUAGCAAUUAGCAAGGAAGUGUAAAGACAGGGAUUCCUUUCUCUUCUUUUGGUUCUCUAUUGCAUUAUAAGAGGUGAGAACACAAUUAGGCAUUCUGUUGCCACCAGAAGUCAACUUCCUUUGAUGCUUGGCAGACUGCCAGUUUCUUUGGCUUUGUACAACCUGCCUCUUGUAGCGUGUGUUUGGUACACCAGGCUAUCUGAUUCUCUUAAAUCUGGACAUCUAGAACGCUUUCUGGCAAUCAAGUGUUUUUUAAAAAACUCAUCUCUUCCUUCUUCCGUAAUACUGGAGAAUGGACCUUUUAGGUGUGAAAAAUGAUAUCUAUUUUUGUUCCUGGCACUAUUGAUGACAGUGUAGUCUUCUCUUAGUUGGCAUUUUCUAAGAUCAUGUUUGAGACACAUCCCUACUUGGAGACUUACAUGGUGACAGCGUGGUGGGGCUCAAUCCUACAGGAAUUCAACUUCUUAGGAAAUAAGAUUGUCUUUUGUGUUGAGUUAUUUUAGAAAGUCUGACACCUUAGAGGCUCCAUUAUCACCCACUCUAAAUGGAAGACAUCCUUUGGCAUCUCUUGGUCCAUAGGGACUUGGUUGUCAUUUACCUGCUAUUUCAGAGAGGCCUGGUGAAACGGUCAUCGUUGUCUGUAAGGGGCUUCUUUGUGCUGUAUCUUCUCUGUCUCACUUAGAACUGGAUGUCAAGAUUCAGAUGAUCCCUACUGCCCAGUGUUUUGGUUGCCAAAGCAAAACUUAGCAUUGAUAAAACCUCAGAUAGGUCCCUUAAGAUUGACUUUCCG